This is a non-coding RNA of Notechis scutatus (mainland tiger snake), 1149 nucleotides long. Lineage: Eukaryota; Metazoa; Chordata; Lepidosauria; Squamata; Elapidae. The record is from RefSeq and is a predicted model, not a curated record.
CUCUAAAAUUUCUAGCAACAAAUGAUAUUCUACAGUACAUUGAAAACAGAACUUCUCAAAAUGCUUCGUGCAUGGUCUCUACUCUUAGUAAGAGGCAAAACUUUUCUCACUAAGACAAGAAAUAAUAAUGCUCCAAGUGGGUGCCUACAGAGCCACCUUGGAAAAGGUGCAGAGAGAGCAUGCUACUCAGAGUAGCAACAUCUGUAUAGGUAUUGUAGAAGAUGUAAGGAUUUUUUAAGGUGACAUAGUGGUAAAUUUUGGAUAGCAUUUUUACCAAAUAGCAGGCGGAUGUUCAAUUCUCCUACUCAAGCAGAGUAUCAGGAUAAUAGGCUGAAUACUAAAAAAAGGAAAAUGUGUAGGUGUUGCUAAAUUACAACUGCCCAACAGAUCCAUCAAAACACGGCCAAUGUGAGAGAUACUGUGGACUGCCCAACAUAUAUGACUCAUUCCUUUCUACAGUGAUGUUUUUUGAAUUAUCAUUCUGAGGGCACUUUUUUUUUUUUUUUGCUUGCAAGAAUCUAGGUUGUAGAUAAGCAACUGUAAGAAGAUGCAAAAGCAGCCCUGAGAUUGGGCUAUUCUAAAUUGAUCAUAUUUUCCCUAACAUGAGCUUUAGCUUAUAACAAGGUUAAAAUGAAAAAAGUACCUCUGGAAAAAGAGUAACAUAUUUCAACAUGUAUUUAACUUUAGAGAACAUGAAAUUAAACUUAAUUACCAAGAACUGAAGAGGCAAAUUGCUAAAAGGUAUAGAUAGAAUGAAGAAAGGACAAGAUGCCAUUCUAUAGUAAAGGACAAAAGCAUUUUUAGAUUUCCAAAUAACACAUUGAAGACCAAAAUGCUCCACCAAAGCUAGUCCACAAAAAUUAAGGCAAAGCAGGAUCUUGAAAGUCUUACUGCCUGUUUGUUAAGUUAAGACUUUCAUCAAUCAGCCACUAUAAUAGUUCUGUCUCUGCAAACACACUAGGAGUACAUUGGACAAAUAGUGUGCUAAUUAAAAACAAUUCUCUAGAAUUCCUCUUCUAAAUAAUUUGCAGAUCUCAAGAGAUAACACAGAAUUUUUACAACUGCAGGAGGAAGAAUGGAUACUUUUUAUAAGGGAUGAAACCAGAGAAACAUCAGCAGGCCUAGGAUUUUGCAAACGCAUCCCAGUAA